RNAcentral lists this long non-coding RNA (1499 nucleotides) under Bos mutus (wild yak). Its description in RNAcentral is "lncRNA (ENSBMUG00000000225.1)". The stretch from base 1 to 119 matches the Rfam family "Myocardial infarction associated transcript exon 1", at positions 17 to 135 of the family's 135-position model. The record is from RNAcentral. Lineage: Eukaryota; Metazoa; Chordata; Mammalia; Artiodactyla; Bovidae.
GACGAGGGCGGGGAGGAGUUUGCGAUGGGAGGCGCCUGCAGGGGCUCCCCCAGUUCUGCGCUGUGAGCCGGGGCACAAAGAGCUCUCUGCACUGGCGCCGCAAGACCGCGGACCCGAGCUGGAGGCAUCUCCCUGCCUACCCGUAUGGUUCCAGACACAUUCAUGUGGCCGCCGUGACCCUACCAGCAUCAAAGGAGUAAUCAAGAGUGCAAGCAAGUUUCUGAGACAGAGGAGAAGGAAGGGAAUUUCCGGGUUCUUGGAGAUGUUCAGGACCACACUGGGAAGCAGCCUUGCAGAUAAGUAUUCAAACUUCCCAGCCCACAGCCUACCAGCCUGCCCUCUACUGGUCCAUGGAGCAAAGUACAGCAUCCCUGAAUCCCCAAGUCCAGGGGGAAAUCGGCGCUCCAGCUCUUUUGCUUUCCUAUCCCUAAGACACAAAGAAAAAGCUUGUCCCCAUUUUAUGGGGCCCCAGAGAGUAAUUUUCCUACCCCACUUUUGACAUCAAGGCUAGUAUUUUACAAACUCCACCCUCAGGGACUUCUGAGGAGCUGAGUUUAGUAACUUCAUCUUGAGAACCUGUAGAUCUGGUGUCAGGAGGAGACUGGGGACUCCUGGUGGUUUGGGCUGGCCCUUCCCUUCUUGGUUCUUGUCCUCUGUCAUCAUAUUUAUAAAACUUGGCUAGGGCUCCUUUUCUUGCCUGGCAGUCAAGUGGGGACCUCAGCACUGUGACCCCUGGGCACGUGCUUCUUGGUUUAAGGGUCUGAGUACCUCUCCUGCUCUGGGCCCGGGCCCCCAAGUCCAGGUGCUGACAGCAAGCUCUGAAGAUGCGGUGAACGGGCCGGGCCUGCCAGUGGGUGAAGAUAACCUUGUCACUGUUUGUUGUUUAGUCCCUGAGUCGUGUCUGAUGCUUUGCCAUCCCAUGGACUGUACCUCCUCUGUCCAUGGGAUUUUCCAGGCAAGAAUACUGGAGUGGGUUGCCAUUUCCUUUUUCAGGGAAUCCUCCUGACCCAGGGAUCCAACCUGCAUCUCGUCUCCUGCAUUAGCAGGCGGAUUCUUUACCACUGAGCCACCAGGGAAGCCCUAAGAUAGCUUAGCUGUCACCAGAAAAGCCUGGGAGAUGGUCCUGGCCCAGGAUUUGUGGGCAUUCUCUGGUCUUCUCCACACUGCAGACAUGGGGAUGUAGCUAAAGAGCCCCAGCCCACCAUCUGGCUCCCCACGUUUUCUUUUUCUGGGGCAUCAGAAAAGAGGAUAGGAGAUGAGAGUGGGGGGAGUUGGGUAGAAAGAUAACUGAGGUUGGGCCUUCUGCUUCCCAUCCUCUGCCUCAAGCUGCAGGUAGUUACUGCACUUCGGGGGAAUGUCUGGACUGGGAGGACCCUGGGACCUGGAGGGAGGGGCCGCCGGUCCAGCGUGACCCAGGAUAGCGGAGCUGGGAUCAGAUGUCCGGCUUCUCGCCCUGCUCCACGCUCUCACUCAACCUGAGCUUGCCCUGCUCUCUCCGG